This is an unclassified non-coding RNA of 236 nucleotides. The stretch from base 1 to 46 matches the Rfam family "Eukaryotic small subunit ribosomal RNA", at positions 1786 to 1831 of the family's 1831-position model.
AAGUCGUAACAAGGUUUCCGUAGGUGAACCUGCGGAAGGAUCAUUACCGAGUUCAUGCCCUUCGGGGUAGAUCUCACACCCUUUGUAUACUAUACCUUUGUUGCUUUGGCGGGCCGCCUAGCUACUGGCUUCGGCUGGUAAGUGCCCGCCAGAGAACCCAAAACCCUGAAUUAUUAGUGUCGUCUGAGUAAAAUAUUUAAUAUUUAAAACUUUCAACAACGGAUCUCUUGGCUCUG